UCUAAGUAUAAACGAUUUAAUCGUGAAACCGCGAAUGGCUCAUUAUAACAGCUAUAAUUUACUUGAUCUUGACACAAUCCUACUUGGAUAACUGUGGUAAUUCUAGAGCUAAUACAUGCAUUAAAGCUCUGACCUCACGGGAAGAGUGCAUUUAUUAGAACAAAACCAAGCGGCUUCGGCUGUUUCUGGUUGACUCAUAGUAACUGAGCUGAUCGCAUGGUCUUGCACCGGCGACGUGUCUUUCAAGUAUCUGCCGUAUCAACUUUCGAUGGUAGUGUAUCUGACUACCAUGGUGAUCACGCGUAACGGAGAAUAAGGGUUCGGCUCCGGAGAGUUCGCCUGAGAAAUCGCGAACACA
RNAcentral lists this ribosomal RNA (358 nucleotides) under Nematoda environmental sample. Its description in RNAcentral is "SSU rRNA". It matches the Rfam family "Eukaryotic small subunit ribosomal RNA", at positions 58 to 414 of the family's 1831-position model. The record is from RNAcentral. Lineage: Eukaryota; Metazoa; Nematoda.